RNAcentral lists this long non-coding RNA (1083 nucleotides) under Homo sapiens (human). RNAcentral's name for it is "non-protein coding lnc-POGZ-2:1". Lineage: Eukaryota; Metazoa; Chordata; Mammalia; Primates; Hominidae. The record is from RNAcentral.
AUUUUGGGGGCGUCGCGGAUGGUCGCGAGUGACCGCCGGCCAAGAUCCCGGGAGCCGUCGGCCAGAGCAUCUUCUGGGCUCUGCUAGAAAACAGCCUCCUGCCUCCCGUUUACUCCAAGGGAAUCGCCGGCCAGGGCCCUUUCUGUCCUUCACCUACCUCUGCAGGAACCAGAAUGCUCUUUCGUCACUUUCUGCAGAAAAUAUCUCCGUUGUCCCCCGACGUCAGAGCCUCCUGCACCUCAGCUCGUCUCCCUUUUCCCUGACCCGAACCAGAACCCUGAUCUUGGAUUCUCUUUUAUCUUGUGGCCUCCGCAAUCAUUUUGCAGCCUGACAUCUUUUUCUAUGUAAUAUUUAUCACCUUCUAGUUAAUAACAUAAUUUUAAAAAUCAUUUUCAUCAUUUUGCCUCCCGUCCUACGAUAAGCUUCACCAGAGCAAGGAUCUCUUGUUCUGUGCCUUGCUUCACCCCAAACGCCUACAACAGGGACUGGUACAUACUACAUGCUUAAUAAAUAUUUGUUGACUGAAUGAAUGGAAACCGGGGACGCAAAUUUACCAAAAUAGGAAUGACCUUCGUUCUAAACUGAAAGGGACUCAGUUGUAAAUUUACCUCAGAGUUAGCCUCUCAAAAAGUAGGGAUGCUGAUCCCAGUUCCUAGAAAAGAGUAAAAACUAGGGGCUCUGCAAACUGCAGGACCGCUCAUACCAGCUGCAGUUAAAACAACAUUAAAGCUGGCAUCCUAGCUGUUAACCGUUGAGAUAUGUAAAAAAGAGAUUGACUUCGUUUACGUUGCUGGGCUCCGGAUUUUGUUCUCAUUUAGUUACAACAAAUAUUUACCCUGUAUCUAUUGGAGUAGAAGAGGAAUCUUCGAUGCAGCACAGAUUCCGGUGUAUUCUCGGGAGCUGGUUUCCGCCCCUCCCCAAGCCUUCAAAAGCUAGGUGUGGGUCCUACAGAGUAAAGUCCACUUACCAGCUCCUCAGCUGGGAUGCAAAGUCUCUGCAUUCCAGAGCAAGCUGUAUAUAAGGAUUAGGGCCAUCAAACCGGCCUGUUCCCUGGGGAGGAACAGCAAAAAACAUGUAGUGGGG